UGGGCGUUAAGUUGCAGGGUAUAGACCCGAAACCCGGUGAUCUAGCCAUGGGCAGGUUGAAGGUUGGGUAACACUAACUGGAGGACCGAACCGACUAAUGUUGAAAAAUUAGCGGAUGACCUGUGGCUGGGGGUGAAAGGCCAAUCAAACCGGGAGAUAGCUGGUUCUCCCCGAAAGCUAUUUAGGUAGCGCCUCGUGAAUUCAUCUCCGGGGGUAGAGCACUGUUUCGGCUAGGGGGCCAUCCCGGCUUACCAACCCGAUGCAAACUGCGAAUACCGGAGAAUGUUAUCACGGGAGACACACGGCGGGUGCUAACGUCCGUCGUGAAGAGGGAAACAACCCAGACCGCCAGCUAAGGUCCCAAAGUCAUGGUUAAGUGGGAAACGAUGUGGGAAGGCCCAGACAGCCAGGAUGUUGGCUUAGAAGCAGCCAUCAUUUAAAGAAAGCGUAAUAGCUCACUGGUCGAGUCGGCCUGCGCGGAAGAUGUAACGGGGCUAAACCAUGCACCGAAGCUGCGGCAGCGACACUGUGUGUUGUUGGGUAGGGGAGCGUUCUGUAAGCCUGUGAAGGUGUGUCGUGAGGCAUGCUGGAGGUAUCAGAAGUGCGAAUGCUGACAUAAGUAACGAUAAAGCGGGUGAAAAGCCCGCUCGCCGGAAGACCAAGGGUUCCUGUCCAACGUUAAUCGGGGCAGGGUGAGUCGACCCCUAAGGCGAGGCCGAAAGGCGUAGUCGAUGGGAAACGGGUUAAUAUUCCCGUACUUGGUGUUACUGCGAAGGGGGGACGGAGAAGGCUAUGUUGGCCGGGCGACGGUUGUCCCGGUUUAAGUGUGUAGGUGUGUGUUCCAGGUAAAUCCGGUUCACUUUAACACUGAGGCGUGACGACGAGGCACUACGGUGCUGAAGCAACAAAUGCCCUGCUUCCAGGAAAAGCCUCUAAGCAUCAGGUAACAUCAAAUCGUACCCCAAACCGACACAGGUGGUCAGGUAGAGAAUACCAAGGCGCUUGAGAGAACUCGGGUGAAGGAACUAGGCAAAAUGGUGCCGUAACUUCGGGAGAAGGCACGCUGACACGUAGGUGAAGUGAUUUACUCAUGGAGCUGAAGUCAGUCGAAGAUACCAGCUGGCUGCAACUGUUUAUUAAAAACACAGCACUGUGCAAACACGAAAGUGGACGUAUACGGUGUGACGCCUGCCCGGUGCCGGAAGGUUAAUUGAUGGGGUCAGCGCAAGCGAAGCUCCUGAUCGAAGCCCCGGUAAACGGCGGCCGUAACUAUAACGGUCCUAAGGUAGCGAAAUUCCUUGUCGGGUAAGUUCCGACCUGCACGAAUGGCGUAAUGAUGGCCAGGCUGUCUCCACCCGAGACUCAGUGAAAUUGAACUCGCUGUGAAGAUGCAGUGUACCCGCGGCAAGACGGAAAGACCCCGUGAACCUUUACUAUAGCUUGACACUGAACAUUGAGCCUUGAUGUGUAGGAUAGGUGGGAGGCUUUGAAGUGUGGACGCCAGUCUGCAUGGAGCCGACCUUGAAAUACCACCCUUUAAUGUUUGAUGUUCUAACGUGGACCCGUUACCCGGGUUGCGGACAGUGUCUGGUGGGUAGUUUGACUGGGGCGGUCUCCUCCUAAAGAGUAACGGAGGAGCACGAAGGUUGGCUAAUCCUGGUCGGACAUCAGGAGGUUA
RNAcentral lists this ribosomal RNA (1678 nucleotides) under Salmonella enterica. RNAcentral describes it as "partial 23S ribosomal RNA". It matches the Rfam family "Bacterial large subunit ribosomal RNA", at positions 689 to 2348 of the family's 2925-position model. The record is from RNAcentral. Lineage: Bacteria; Pseudomonadati; Pseudomonadota; Gammaproteobacteria; Enterobacterales; Enterobacteriaceae.